Molecule: ribosomal RNA, 387 nt
Filed under: uncultured bacterium
Lineage: Bacteria
Description: bacterial SSU rRNA
Rfam family: Bacterial small subunit ribosomal RNA
Source: RNAcentral
GACGAACGCUGGCGGCGUGCUUAACACAUGCAAGUCGAGCGGUAAGGCCCUUUCGGGGGUACACGAGCGGCGAACGGGUGAGUAACACGUGGGUGACCUGCCCUCAGCUCUGGGAUAAGCCUGGGAAACCGGGUCUAAUACUGGAUAUGACUCCAUGACGCAUGUUGUGGGGUGGAAAGCCUUGUGCGGCUGAGGAUGGGCCCGCGGCCUAUCAGCUUGUUGGUGGGGUGAUGGCCUACCAAGGCGACGACGGGUAGCCGGCCUGAGAGGGCGACCGGCCACACUGGGACUGAGACACGGCCCAGACUUCUACGGGAGGCAGCAGUGGGGAAUCUUGCGCAAUGGGCGAAAGCCUGACGCAGCGACGCCGCGUGAGGGAUGACGGCC